CACGCUAUUUGCCAAUGUGUAGUUUCAGUCUAAAUUCUGACAAUAAAAUGUAUGGAUAUAUAUCUAUAUAUCUCAUCUUGAUUUUCAAAAGUAGCCAAAGGGAGUUCUUCAGAGCUUAGCGUUGCCUGGCUGAAGCUGAAGAUUUUGUAACUUCAUAGCGAGACCCAUGUUGCCAGUGAUUUUCAAUUUGCCUUGAAAGAAGGCCGACUGAGGAUUCAUUUUACCAGUCAUUAAAGCCAGGAAGUCUGAGUCAGCCAUUGUGAUUGUGCAGUCAGCCUUCUUAUCUGAGUUAGGAAGCACUGAUCCUUUGCCAUUCUUCACAUCCACCACCCAGGUGGCCUCUUUACCCCCAGGGCCAUCUUUCACCUUGAAGGCAAAAAUACCACCGAUUUUCUUCACAAACUGUUCCCCUUCCUCUUCAAGUUUCUUCUCAAUCUCCUUAAAAACAAGAUUUGCCUUAAAUCCAUCACUUGCAGAGCUGGUUGGAACAGCUUCAAUUUGAUGAGUUCUAAAAGAACUGGCGGCUUCCGGAAAACCCAUCUUGUAGAGUGUUACAACCACAGCUCC
Molecule: long non-coding RNA, 567 nt
Filed under: Homo sapiens (human)
Lineage: Eukaryota; Metazoa; Chordata; Mammalia; Primates; Hominidae
Description: LNC_000308
Source: RNAcentral